This 253-nucleotide ribosomal RNA is filed under the name uncultured bacterium. RNAcentral's name for it is "partial 16S ribosomal RNA". It matches the Rfam family "Bacterial small subunit ribosomal RNA", at positions 524 to 776 of the family's 1533-position model. The record is from RNAcentral.
UACGUAGGGUGCAAGCGUUGUCCGGAAUUAUUGGGCGUAAAGAGCUCGUAGGCGGUCUGUCGCGUCUGCUGUGAAAACUCAGGGCUUAACCCUGAGCUUGCAGUGGGUACGGGCAGACUAGAGUUCGGUAGGGGAGACUGGAAUUCCUGGUGUAGCGGUGAAAUGCGCAGAUAUCAGGAGGAACACCGGUGGCGAAGGCGGGUCUCUGGGCCGAAACUGACGCUGAGGAGCGAAAGCGUGGGGAGCAAACAGG